GAUGAAGAACGUAGCGAAAUGCGAUACGUAAUGUGAAUUGCAGAAUUCAGUGAAUCAUCGAAUCUUUGAACGCAUAUUGCGCUCUCUGGUAUUCCGGAGAGCAUGCUUGUUUGAGUAUCAGUAAACACCUCAACUUCCAUAUCUUUUUUGAAAUGGGAGUUGGACUUGAGUGAUCCCAACGCUUUUCCUCACCGAAAAGUGGCGGGUUACUUGAAAUGCAGGUGCAGCUGGACUUUUCUCUGAGCUAUAAGCAUAUCUAUUUAGUCUGCCAAAAAAACAGAUUAUUACCUUUGCUGCAGCUAACAUAAAGGAGAUUAGUUCUUGUGCUGACUGAUGCAGGAUUCACAAAGACAGGCUUCGGCCGACUUUGUAAACUCGAUCUCAAAUCAAGUAAGACUACCCGCUGAACUUAAGCAUAUCAAUAAGCGGAGGA
Molecule: unclassified non-coding RNA, 433 nt
Filed under: soil metagenome
Description: partial contains 5.8S ribosomal RNA, internal transcribed spacer 2, and large subunit ribosomal RNA
Rfam family: 5.8S ribosomal RNA (bases 1-120)
Source: RNAcentral